UGGCGCUGGCACGGUGGUGGCGUCGCGGCUUCGAGCUGCUGGUGGUCACAGCGGCGUCAACGACGGAGCUGGUUGCAGGAGGAGCGCGGCGAGGCUCGGCUGGUCGCUCAGGCGAGGGGACUCGGAGCGGCGAUAGCCGGCAGCAGCGACGGCGCAGGGGUGCGGUGGCGCGGCGUCGUGUUGCAGGCGGAGGCGCCAGUGGCCGGCGGGGCAGCUGCACGAAGAAGAAGACCCUGUUCCUCUUCCUUUUUUUUUUUGAUUUAAUUUUUUUUUAAAUUUUCCACUCUCUCUCUGUCUCACGUCCCCUCACACUUCCCUCUCUGCUAUACUCUCCUGCCCCCUUUGCUGGCUUUUACUUCCCCCGAAAAAAAGAAAAGAGCCUUGUUUUUUUUUUUAUUACUUUUUUUACUCAAAAACCGAAGGAAAGCCCCCCUAUAUCUCUCCGUACGCGGCUCCUUUUAUAAGCCAAGAAUUUGAUCUUGUAGAAGAUUUUAUUUCCAAUUUUGCUUGUGCAAGUCCUGAACAUAUCGUGGAAAUAUAAGUACUCAUGCG
Molecule: long non-coding RNA, 552 nt
Filed under: Eucalyptus grandis
Lineage: Eukaryota; Viridiplantae; Streptophyta; Magnoliopsida; Myrtales; Myrtaceae
Description: long non-coding RNA (EGRA_LNC007437)
Source: RNAcentral